UCUUCUUCUCCUUUUUCUAUCAUUUUUUUUCCUAAUACGUGAUAAAGUGCGUCUGCUGCUCCGCAUCGGGGGCACGGGUCGAUGGCCCAGCCCGAUCGGCCUCUCGCUAUAUUGGCCCGGCGAGGGAGGCAGAAAAAUAUCGCGACGCCGCCAUCCGCGAGGCCUUUUCGCCUGGUCGCGCCGCGCUCUGCCGGGGCUUGAUUCAUGCUGGGCAGUGACUGGGCGUAAGCCGCUCGCCAACCAUAACCCAUCAGCCUCUCCCAUCUGGCGCUGCAAGCAUGGCAGCAGCGCCUUUACCCACAGUGGCCUUUAUCCCUAUCAACCCAACAUUUUCGCUUGCGGUUUCAACCUCCCUGCGACCAAUCGGCGCAGUAAUGUUUUUGUUGGUCGGCAAUGGCCAGUACACACAUCUGCGUGCCCAUCCGACAGAAACACAUUCUUUUUAAUUCAUGCAUUAUCUUGGGUGUUGGCCUGUUUGCCGCACACCCGACGUUGCAGGCCCAAAACCCCGCCGGCAUCGACUAAAGCCGCAGUCAAUCGACUAUUUGUCCAAAACGGAGUAGCCAGUUGGUCAAAUCUGACUAGUCGAUACCCGCAGGCACGCGCGGUGCGUGCCUGCAUGUGGCGAGGCCCGUCCGCAUAGCGUGCGCACCUACGGGUGGGCCAGCGUCCUCGACGCGGCAUAGGCCUUUUGGAUCACAUUCGUGCCCUGGACCACGACAGGGUCGCUCGCCCAGGCAUCGCCCGUGGAGCGCAUUCUGUCGAGCGCGCGCUUGCUCGCGCGACGCUCUGUCAUGGCGGUCAGGCGCGCGCAAUAGGCCGCCAGCGGCUCGUCGGGAACAGAGGGCGCGUCGCCGCUCGGGUCCUUGUAGCCGUCGACGAUCGACUCGGCCGCCUCGCCGUACGGGCGCGCGCCAUAGAGCGAUGGCUUGAGUGGCAUCCGCGCGACGCACUCAUCGGGCGUGUAGCCCGCGCGCAAGAGCAUGUCGGCGGCGCACGCGACGCGCUCGCACAGGGGUGUCGAUGCACGGGCAUCCACGCCACUGCGGCGCAGGAAAUCACCUCCAGAGACCACGGCGCGCAGCACGCUCAGCGGAUUGGCGUCGAGCGGAUGCAACGGGGCCGACCGCGGGAAGGCGACCAGCAGAUCGCCGAGGACGACCACGGGAUCGACGACACGAUCCACCCGCCGUUCCCACAUCGUGGUGGCACAGGGCGGCAGCGACUGGCUGCGGCAGUCGACCGCCGCCACGGCGUCCCAAAACAGACGGUCCAGGGCGACGGCGAGGAGGGCUUCGAUCGACGGCUCGGCGCGCGCGCCGGCGUCCACGAGGGCCUUGACGCAUCGGCGCGAUCCGCACGCCACAGCCCUCGUGAGCGGGCUCUCGCCACUGGCGCACCUGGGCAACGGGAGGCACAAGGGGGAGAGCGCACCGCCCGCAUCGUCCUCUAGGUCAUAGGCGAUCGUGCCGUCGCGGCGCGGGGUGCGCACGAUGAUCGCGGUUGCACCGGCGCGUCCGACGACGCCGCCGAGUCCGAGUGCAAACACGCACGUGACGGGUGUCGCCAAUCGACAGAGGCUGCCGACGGCGAGCAGCGGGCUGUCGCCCAGUGCGACUGCGCGCAGCAUAUCGGGAUUGUCCCUCGACAGGGCAUUGCUCGCGCGCACGAGACGAUCCACGAGGUCGUCCUGGUGGUCGUCACCUGGCAAUCUGACCGGUGCCUGCAUCGCCGCCGUCGUUGCCCCAGAUCGCGACCCGACAGUGUAUUUUUGACAUUCUGCCUCGUGCCUCGUGCCCGACGACGGUCAACACCAAAAAAAGCGACGCCCAA
RNAcentral lists this long non-coding RNA (1833 nucleotides) under Pandoravirus dulcis. Its description in RNAcentral is "putative ncRNA". The record is from RNAcentral.